Molecule: long non-coding RNA, 607 nt
Filed under: Brassica napus (rape)
Lineage: Eukaryota; Viridiplantae; Streptophyta; Magnoliopsida; Brassicales; Brassicaceae
Description: long non-coding RNA (BNAP_LNC021468)
Source: RNAcentral
AUUUUAAAAACAUAAAAUUAAUUAAAAAUACAUUAAAACCAUAAAUGAUAACUCUUUUGCUCCUUCUUGAUUGAUCUUCCUUCUCAAACUCCUCUCUGCACACUUGCUCCUGCUAUGUCUCUUCUCUAGGCUCGUUUUUAAGAUUGUGUGAAAGACCAAGAGCUGAUCGUCCCUUUCUAUAGCACUUCUUUAACUUGCUCAGCAAGCCAGCUAUUUAAUGUAGUUUCCUUAUUUGGUUGGUCAAAUCCAACCAUAUAUUAACCUAACUCACCUCUACAAUACUUUCCUUAUCUGACUCACGCAAACCUGAUAUUUCCUUCGAUAAUCCCGUAGCGAUCAUUAAUCAAACUAUCCUUACUUAGAACCUGCAUUGCACAAUAGUCAAACAUUCUUUAAUUGGAUCACAAUAGUCAAACAUUGUUUAACUGGAUUUGCGGUCUUGUUCUUUUCUUACUUAUGCAUGAUUGUUUCAUGAUCGGUUUACCAUCACUCUGCCCGUUCCAAACUUGUUCCAUAUCCUCACUGAAAUCCUAAACUUAGUGAAAUAUAGCUUAUCCACCACAACCUUCAUGACUACAAGUGUUUACAUACAUUGAAAAAUACGCUC